Canis lupus familiaris (dog) is the source of this 3239-nucleotide long non-coding RNA. RefSeq lists it as uncharacterized. Lineage: Eukaryota; Metazoa; Chordata; Mammalia; Carnivora; Canidae. The record is from RefSeq and is a predicted model, not a curated record. The transcript has 3 exons.
GCGCACACCCUGGAGGACAUGGUACUGGCUAACAGUAUGGGUCAUGGGAGAGGCCAAGGAUGGCGCUCAGUCCUCUGGUUCGGGGCACCCCCCGUUGUCACCGCCGUGAAGGAGGUGGGAGAGCGAGGAAGGUGCCCCCCAAGACCCGCGGCCAGGCCGGUGCUGGUGCAGGCCUCCUUCGCUAGGAAGGGGCUCUUGCCUCGACGGGCUUUUCUUCUAAGCAGUGGCUUCUGCAGGGUUCAGAAAGUUACAGGAGUCCUUGUUUCUGGCCAAUCCGUCAGCCUUUAUGAAGUAUACACUCUGCCCCGGGACAGAAUUUAACCUAAAAUAAGCGUAAAAUACGUGAUGGAAACUUCAGCUCUUAGCCACAUGUGGUCAGACGGCACAGCUUGCUAAAAUGUCACCUUACUUACGGAUCGGACUGUAUUUACUCUGAGUAGAGGCUUAACACAUAACUACUCGAUCUUUCUCCCACUCGCCCUCCACGUCCCCCCCACCCCCGGGACUGGAAACACAGGGAGAGGAAGAGGAUGCCAAGCCGAGGCCAAAUCACGCGUGGAGUUUAAGCGUAUGCCUUUGUUUGUCAUCUUGCAAAGGCCUCGCUCGCCUCCCAGACCCAUUCCCUAGCAGGGCUUGCUCGCUUUCCCACUUCCCAGACGGCAAAGGGGUCCGUGCCUCUUCUCCCUCCGUCUCCCCGGUUUUCAAGCUUGUCCCUCCACUGGCCUUCAUCAGCUCCCCCUUCAGCCUCCCUUGAGUGAAAUCACAUCUCAAAGUGGAGAUUAGAUCCUUACGUGGGCACAUGGGCAAGAGUCCCAGCUGCUCAGAAGGGUUCUAGCAGAUUUCUCAGAUCACCCGUGACGUCAGCUGUGGCUGUAGGAACACAGCCCUGCGGGGUGCCAUGUAGGCCUGAGCGCAUGGAGUAGUACGUCCGUGUAAGGCAUGUGUACUGCGCAAGGCGCUGCUAUGCGAGGUGACAGUCCCACGGCAUGAAGCCCAAAGAGGGAUCAGACCGGGGAAUUCGAUGAAGCCAAGGCGCCCAGGCCCCCUUUCCCUCUCUGUCCUGCCAGCGCAGUUCAUGGCUUCCUCCCCGUGGCUGCUGCGGCUCCAGCCACUGCACACACAUUCCAGACAUUAAUUUGUUAAAAAUGGGGAAGGGGCAGGUGGAUUUCUCUCGGGAGAGAUGGUUUGAGGACUCUGAAGAACAUUUGCCUCUUUCUGUCCAACUUAGCAUUCUUAUUUCAGGAUUUCUUUUUUCCCUGCUGGACCGGCUCUGCCAUCUUGCUGGCCUCCGUCACUAAUGAUCCAUUACACGUCCCACCUUGAAUUCCCACGUCUGUCUCAUGGGCCAGACCUGAGUCCUCGGCCACACCUUGCUGCCAGGGAGGCUGGAGAGUCCAGCCUUCUAGCUAAGUGCAACCCCCUCCUGGUGGAAAUCUAGGGGCUCUGACUAGGACAGGCCAGAGAUGGAAGAGCGGCGAGCAGCAGCAGCGUUUGCACAAGGACACAGCAACUGGUUGGACCUGAGCGGUGUGUUCACCUUUGGAUGGAGUUGGCCCCGGCCUCUGUCGCCGUCCUCAGCACGCCUCCCUGUGACGCAGUCAGGUUCUAACACACGGAACCUAUCCACGGAACAGCACCCAGAUCAAGAAACAGAAGAUACCCUCACACCGGAGGUCCCCCUCACGUCCCUGUUCAGUCAUCAUCCUCACUUCUCUCAGCAGAGAUUAGAUGCACCUGCAUUUAUACUUGAUAUAAAUGGGGCCCUAGAGUAGGUAUGAUUCCUGUCCAGCGGUUUCUAUUCGACAUUGUAUUUAUGAGAUCCACGCGCAUCGUUGCACGCAGCAGUAGGUCGUUCUUUUUCACGACCACAUAAUAUUCCAUUGUGUGAAUUCCCCACCAUUUAUUUUUAUCUGUUCUUGAUUAAUGGACAUUUAGGGAACUUUCCAGCGUUAGGUCUUGAGCACAGUAUGGCUUACCGAAAUUCUAGUACACGUUAAAAAAGAGAUUAACAUUGCCUCUCUCUCUCUGUGUCUCUCAUGAAUAAAUAAAUAAAAUCUUUAAAAAAAAAGAAUUUACUGAUAAGUAUUGUACAAAAAUUAAAAAAAAGAGAGAUUAACACGUGUCAAAAUGGCAUUCGAGGAAAGGAAGUGUUAUCAGAAAAGAGGUAAAUGUAGCCUGAUUUUCAGAUUAUGUCAUUUUCUAUCCGCAAAACUCAAGAGAAUCAAUUCAAACCAUCAUCAUUAAUAACAGAAUUUAGUAGAGUCAAGACAAAAAAAAAAGAGUAAAGACAAAGAGAAAGCCAAGGAGAGCUGGAUGGGGAAGGGCGCAGGAAGAAGACCUGGCAAAGGGAGGAAAAGCAAGGAGAGAAGCCAGUGGCUGCGCCCUGUAAGCACCAAGCUCUGAGCUCCCGCGUGAGGGAGGCCUGACUCAGCAACCGUUGACGCUCUUGGGGGAUCAUUUCCUGAGUGCGUUUUAUGAGCCAAGAAUCGUUUUAUGGACUUUUUGAGGGUUUUCAGCUCGGAAACCUAACUAUAUUUCUUGAGGCCCUUGGUGGGCUCACGGCAAGGAGUUGUGCCAGGAGGUGAAGACAUUGAGAGGAACGCUGGGGGCUCUGGGGGCUCUCCACUAUUUCAGGGCACGAGUCUGACGUGGCAGGAGUCAGAGAGGAGAUAAUAGCCUCCUCCUCCUCCGUGGAACCCAGCACUGCUCUGGGUCCCCCGAGCCGCGGAAACUCAUGGUGCCUCAAUGGGUUCAGCCUUGCUAUGAACAUCGGCGUUCUUGUGAGCCCCCCAGUGACCUCUGGGGUCUGCAGGCUUGAUACCUGGGAGCCAGGGAAGAAAAGCGGGGAGACACCGGACGCUUGCCCCCGGGGACGAUCUGAUUUGGAAAAUCCUACAAGCCCUGCCCUUUUGGACUCCCUGCUGUCCAUGUGGGAUUGCUCACGGUGCUGCUCACCUUUGAAGGGCAUGACUGUUGUGACAUGACCUUGGGACACAGGGACCAGCAGUGCGGGGCAGAGAGAGGACAAUCCAAGCUGGCUAAAGUGCUUUGUGAAGCACGAAACAACUCUGAUUGAUGAGGCAGCAGCCGGCUUCCAUAACCUAGGAGUUGGGCCUCCUGUGGGGGCUCAGUGGUGGAGCGUCUGCCCUAGGCCCAGGUCGUGACCCCGGGGUCCUGGGAUCGAGCCCCGCAUCAGGCUCCCUGUAGGGAACCUGCUUCUCCCUCUGCCUGUGUCUCUG